This 70-nucleotide transfer RNA is filed under the name Anolis lineatus. Its description in RNAcentral is "tRNA-Trp". Lineage: Eukaryota; Metazoa; Chordata; Lepidosauria; Squamata; Anolidae. The record is from RNAcentral.
UAAAAACUUAGGUUAACACAAACCAAGGGCCUUCAAAGCCCUAAAUAAGGAUGACCUCCCCUUAGUUUUU